UCGCGCGUCACUGACUCAUCAUUACCGUAAGCCUUCAGUUGAGUCAGAAGCGAUGAAACCUGGUUGCAAAAGUUACUCGUCUUUGUUUUUUCAUUUUUACAACGACGAUAAUAUUCAAGAUGGCAACAACAACCACUGAGAAUGGAGGUGGAGGAACCAGUGGGUCAAAAGAUUACAAAAAGCCCACAGCUGCUGCACUGAAAGGAGCCAUCCAGCUGGGCAUUGGGUAUGCUGUGGGGAACCUGACAUCCAAGCCUGACAGAGAUGUGCUCAUGCAGGAUUUCUACAUGGUGGAGAGUGUCUUUCUACCCAGUGAGGGGAGCAACAUGACCCCAGCGCACCACUUCCCAGACUUCCGCCUCAAAACCUACGCUCCUCUCGCCUUCCGCUACUUUAGGGAGCUCUUUGGCAUCAAAGCAGAUGACUACCUGUACUCCAUCUGUAAUGAGCCUCUGAUCGAGCUGUCCAACCCCGGGGCCAGCAGUUCCUGGUUCUACCUGACCAGCGAUGAUGAGUUCAUCAUUAAGACUGUGCAGCAUAAAGAGGCUGAGUUCCUGCAGAAACUCCUUCCUGGUUACUACAUGAAUCUGAAUCAGAACCCGAGGACACUGCUACCGAAGUUCUACGGCCUGUACUGCAUCCAGUGUGCUGGGUUCAACACCCGUCUGGUGGUGAUGAACAAUGUGUUGCCCAGGGCCCUCCAGAUGCACUACAAAUACGACCUGAAGGGCUCCACCUACCAACGCCAUGCCUCGUGCAAGGAGCGUGCCAAGUUCUCGCCCACCUUCAAAGACCUCGACUUUCAGGAGAUGCUUGAGGGCCUGCACUUUGAUGGCGACACGUACAGUGCCUUAAUGAAGACACUGCAGAGGGACUGCAAGGUCCUGGAGAGCUUUAAGAUCAUGGACUACAGUCUCCUGCUGGGGGUGCAUGUGCUGGACAAGAAGUGUCUGGACAGGGGGGUCGGGGCGGACAGUAAGCGCCUCAAUGGCCAGAGGGUCCUCUACUCCACUGCCCUGGAGUCCAUCCAAGGGGAAGGGGACGGCAAGGUUGCAGAGCCAGUGGCAGAUGAUGACACAAUGGGUGGAAUUCCAGCUAAACACAAAGAUGAGAAGCUGCUGAUCUUCUUAGGGAUUAUUGACAUCCUCCAGUCCUACAGGUUCAUCAAGAAGGUGGAGCACUCCUGGAAAGCCCUCGUACACGAUGGGGAUACAGUGUCAGUUCACAGGCCCAGUUUCUAUGCAGACAGAUUUCUGAAGUUCAUGGGCGGCACUGUAUUCAAAAAGAUCCAUCCUGUAAGAGGAGCAUCCUCCAAGAGGAAGAGGAGCUCCAUCCAUGCGAUGAGGUCAGCCUCCCAGGAGGUGCUGUCCCCCCAAAAGGAGGAGAAGAAGGACGAGAGAAAGGCCCAAAGCAUGGAGAGCCUGAACGGACAAUGUAGUCACCUUUCAUAAAAAAACGACACAACCCACAAUCUAUUGGGCCUGGACACAAACACACUUCUCACGUCAUGCACUCUCUGCUUUAUCCUUUGAGGUUUUUUUUUGUAUUUCUCUGUUUUGUUCAACAGUAAUGAGUUCCUACAAGCAACCUGACCUAGUCCUACUCCCUAAAUGUUUAAAUCAGGCUGUUUCCUCAUCCUCCUCCACUCUUGAGAAGAUCAAGAAAGACCUUGAGGAGCACCUUGAGGAGCACCUGGAGAAUAGUGAUAACCGUCGUGACUCCAGUGCGACUGUGGCCCUGGAAAACACUGUCCCCUCUCUCCAUACCAAAGGCAGCCCAGACUCUGUACACAUUGUCUACUUGGUGGGUGUACAAGAUACACAAUGCAUUUAUUUAGGAGUCAUUAUCUGCUUAAUAGUGUCUAUGACAUCAUCACUUCUGCUUGUCUCCUUUUCAAUGUGUCUCUGUGACAGCCGCAUCAUUUUUGUUCUUCUCUAUUACCAAUCCUCUGUGUGAAAUCCCUGUCUGUUUGCUAAUCUAUGCCAUCAUCACCAACAGUGCUCCCCUCUGUUACAUCACUGAUUCUCAACCUCUUAUGUUCUAGUGAAGAAUGAUGGAAGAAGAUGAAAAGUCUCUUCCAACAGCACCACUAAAUAGACAAUGACCUCUCUAAGCAUCAACUGCACACGAAACACUAUUAUGACAGCGCUCCAAUACAGACGGUCCUGCCUUUGAAGUCAUGACCUGCACUAUGAAGCAGCUUUCUCCUGCUACCGUACACUUUGCUGCUACUUUAAAAUCAGGGACAAUCCUAAGGUUUUCAAAUGGAGAUUACUAGAAACAGUCACCUUGUGGAGCAUGUCAAAUCACUUCUAUUCAAUGCUUCUCUAUGUGAUUGUUUCAGGAUUUUAAUGUUUAAAUGUCACUCAUAAUAAUGUUCAAAUCGCUGA
RNA transcript from Coregonus clupeaformis (lake whitefish), 2390 nucleotides. It is a transcript of the gene named phosphatidylinositol 4-phosphate 5-kinase type-1 beta, with no coding region annotated. The record is from RefSeq and is a predicted model, not a curated record. The transcript is spliced from 12 exons. Lineage: Eukaryota; Metazoa; Chordata; Actinopteri; Salmoniformes; Salmonidae.